This 294-nucleotide ribosomal RNA is filed under the name uncultured bacterium. RNAcentral describes it as "partial 16S ribosomal RNA". It matches the Rfam family "Bacterial small subunit ribosomal RNA", at positions 773 to 1060 of the family's 1533-position model. The record is from RNAcentral.
GUGGAUUAGAUACCCUGGUAGUCCACGCCCUAAACGAUGGGCACUAAGUGUCGGAGGUAUUGAGCCCUCCGGUGCCGCAGCUAACGCAUUAAGUGCCCCGCCUGGGGAGUACGGCCGCAAGGUUGAAACUCAAAGGAAUUGACGGGGGCCCGCACAAGCGGUGGAGCAUGUGGUUCAAUUCGACGCAACGCGAAGAACCUUACCUGGGCUUGACAUGCUGGUAGUAGAAACCCGAAAGGGCAACGAGCCCCGCAAGGGGAAGCCAGCACAGGUGCUGCACGGUUGUCGACAACU